GUGCCAGCGCGCCGCGGUAAUCCGGAGGGUCCAAGCGUUGUCCGGAAUCACUGGGCGUAAAGGGUGUGCAGGUGGGGCAGCAAGUCAGAGGUGAAAGCCCGCGGCUUAACCGCGGACGUGCCUUUGAAACUGCUGCUCUUGAGUCCCGGAGAGGUUGCCGGAAUUCGUGGUGUAGCGGUGAAAUGCGUAGAUAUCACGAGGAACACCAGAGGCGAAAGCGGGCAACUGGACGGGUACUGACACUGAGGCACGAAAGCCAGGGUCUCCAACCGGAUUAGAAACCCCUGUAGUCC
Molecule: ribosomal RNA, 293 nt
Filed under: uncultured bacterium
Lineage: Bacteria
Description: partial 16S ribosomal RNA
Rfam family: Bacterial small subunit ribosomal RNA
Source: RNAcentral